RNAcentral lists this ribosomal RNA (392 nucleotides) under uncultured bacterium. RNAcentral describes it as "partial 16S ribosomal RNA". It matches the Rfam family "Bacterial small subunit ribosomal RNA", at positions 523 to 917 of the family's 1533-position model. The record is from RNAcentral.
AUACGGAGGAUCCGAGCGUUAUCCGGAUUUAUUGGGUUUAAAGGGAGCGUAGGUGGAUUGUUAAGUCAGUUGUGAAAGUUUGCGGCUCGACCGUAAAAUUGCAGUUGAAACUGGCAGUCUUGAGUACAGUAGAGGUGGGCGGAAUUCGUGGUGUAGCGGUGAAAUGCUUAGAUAUCACGAAGAACUCCGAUUGCGAAGGCAGCUCACUAGACUGUUACUGACACUGAUGCUCGAAAGUGUGGGUAUCAAACAGGAUUAGAUACCCUGGUAGUCCACACAGUAAACGAUGAAUACUCGCUGUUUGCGAUAUACAGUAAGCGGCCAAGCGAAAGCAUUAAGUAUUCCACCUGGGGAGUACGCCGGCAACGGUGAAACUCAAAGGAAUUGACGGG